This 497-nucleotide ribosomal RNA is filed under the name uncultured bacterium. RNAcentral's name for it is "partial 16S ribosomal RNA". It matches the Rfam family "Bacterial small subunit ribosomal RNA", at positions 28 to 507 of the family's 1533-position model. The record is from RNAcentral.
GAUAACCGCUGGCGGCGUGCCUAAUACAUGCAAGUCGAGCGAACAGACGAGCAGCUUUCUCCUCUGACGUUAUCGGCGGACGUGUGAGUCACACUUGGCUCACCUCCCUAUACGACUGGGAUAACUUCGGGACACCGGCGCUACUACCGGAUAAUAUAUUGAACCGCAUGGUUCAAUAGUGAAAGACGGUUUUGCUGUCACUUAUAGAUGGAUCCGCGCCGCAUUAGCUAGUUGGUAAGGUAACGGCUUACCAAGGCGACGAUGCGUAGCCGACCUGAGAGGGUGAUCGACCACACUGGAACUGAGACACGGUCCAGACUCAGACGAAAGGCACCAGACGGAGAACUGCGGCAAUGGGCGAAAGGCUGACGGAGGAACACCGCGUGUGUGAUGGAAGUGUUCGGAACGGAAGACAGUGGUGGUAGGGGAGAACAGAUGUGUAAGUAACUGUGCAGGUCUUGAGGGUACCUAAUCAGAAGGCCACGGCUAGCUACGUG